Molecule: long non-coding RNA, 285 nt
Filed under: Ricinus communis (castor bean)
Lineage: Eukaryota; Viridiplantae; Streptophyta; Magnoliopsida; Malpighiales; Euphorbiaceae
Description: long non-coding RNA (RCOM_LNC001341)
Source: RNAcentral
AAAGCUUGAAAAGGGGAAUAUUUGCUGCUCAUUAUGUUCAGUUUUUGCUGUUCAUAAAGGUGGACGUUUUUGGAGUUAUUCUUUGUUUAAUUUGCUGUUGGAAUUUCAGUUUUAAGUGUGUAAUAAAACCUUUGUAAUCAGCCUUUAAUAGCUGUUACAAAUAUUUUUCUUUAUUUAGCACUUUUAUUUGCUGUUUAAUUAGGGAUGUUACAAGGGAAUGUGAAUCCUUGUAGCUGGUCAGUUUUUAGGAGGAAGUUGAAGAGUUUAUCUAUGUCAUGUAACUCU